This 16857-nucleotide long non-coding RNA is filed under the name Ananas comosus (pineapple). Its description in RNAcentral is "long non-coding RNA (ACOM_LNC041784)". The record is from RNAcentral. Lineage: Eukaryota; Viridiplantae; Streptophyta; Magnoliopsida; Poales; Bromeliaceae.
UGCUAGUACAUUAACUUUGUAAAUUGAAACAUAAUAUUUAGUUUUUUCGAGCAUCAUAAAAUGCAACUGCAAAAAACUACACUUCCCUAAAUCUCCUUCUUAAGCUAAUGAGUGCUAAUGCAACAGCAACAUAAAGCCUAUCAUAUGUGCGGUCGAUUGCGGAGAAAUAAGAAAUUCUCAAUGAUCUGCUUAACAAAAAAACACCACAGAAAAUCCAAAAUCCUAUUAUAAAUCCUAACACCACACUAAUGUCCGGCCCUAAUCUUUCAAACCGGUCAUGCGACCUUUUUCCAAAGACAUGAAUUGUUUCAUUAGUGAAGCAACUCUGCGUAGUUGGUGGCCCACAAAGAUAUGGAUUGCCCAUAUAUAUAGAUGGAUCAUUAAGGGUCUGCAGUUGAUAUCCUGACGGAAUUUUUCCUGAUAGAUUAUUAUACGACACAUUUAAGUAGCUCAGAUAAUUCAGUGUAGCAAGACUUUGUGGAAUAGUCCCAGAAAGGUUGUUCAUUGCUACAUCAAGGGACUCCAAUGCAUGCAUCAUACCGAUUUGAUCUGGGAUAUGUCCUGUCAAAUGAUUUAUCGAUAAGUUCAGAUUCUGCAGUGCCUGUAAAUCUCCGAUCUCAUCAGGGAUCUCUCCAUAUAGAUUAUUGCAAGAAAGGUCAAUGCUUUCAAAAAGAUAAAGAAGUUUCGAAUAUUCUCGUGCCUCUCCUUUCACAACUAAAUAUACACUGCCGACACUGCCGGCUGAGACAUUAUAGUUACUGUAUUCAAAAAAUGGCAUUAUAGGAACUCCUUUUUCCCAACUUAAUUCUCCAAUAGAUCGAGGUAUAGAUCCAGAUAAGAUAUUGUGAGAAAGAUCUAGGGCUCGUAGAUAUCCGAGUUGCACAAUUUCCGAAGGUAUGCUACCCGAAAAUGUGUUUGAGCACAAGCUGAGCACCAUGAGAAACGGUAAGCUUUCUCCAAUCCAUUUAGGUAUUGUUCCAGAAAAAUUAUUAUAUCCAAGGUCGAGAAUAAUUAGCUCUGUACAAUACUGCAAAGAAGAAGGAAUUUCUCCUGACAAGCUAUUAUUUCUUAAAUUCAAUAUCGAAAGAUCCGUUUGUUUGCCAAGGGAUGCAGGAAUUUGUCCAGAUAAAUUAUUGUUCAUCGUAUCCAGAACAAAAAGCUGAUCUUGCAACAUCCCUAAACAGGGAGGAAUUUCUCCUGAUAGCUUGUUGUUUGAUAUAUCAAGAACUAUUAAUGAAGUUGAUUCGCAUAAAGAGACUGGUACAUUGCCGUCGAAACUAUUAUUAGAAAGAAGCAAAUACUCUAAACUCGAUAGCGUAGAGUUUGGUAUCGGUCCCGUAAAAAAAUUGUUGGACAGAUCCAGGACAGUAGGAGUUUGCGGAAGAGCUGGCAAUGGGCCUUCAAACUGGUUUGAGCUCAAAUUUAGAUACCGUAGCAUGACACGGUUCAGCGACAAUGGUAAUUUUCCUUUGAUUUGGUUAUACGAGAGAUCGAUUACUUCUAGGGAACUGGACAUAUUCCAAAGCCAAUCAGGAAGUGUAUCUACAAUUUUAGUUUUCGACAAGUUUAUCUCUCCGAGUUGGGUCUGUCCUUGCAGCCAAGGAGGAAAUUUCGGUCCCAGAUUGCAGGAAGCCAAUUUGAGUCCCUUCAGCUGAAAAGGAGGGGUCCAGUCAUGACUCAUAACUUGCACAUGUAAGGAGUUAUAUGAAAGUGAUAACCAUUUUAUUCUCUUUAAGUAGGAAAGUUCGAUUUCUGUUACGACACCCUCGAGGAAAUUACUUUCGAGAUAUAAUGCAGUUAAGUUAGGAAGCCUCCAGACUCCAAUAGGGAUGGUCCCAUUUAGCGAGUUUCCAGAAAGGUCUAUAUUAGUUAGACUGGUCAUGCGCUCUAGCCAACCUGACAAGUUCCCCCUCAAUUUGUUAUCUGCAAAACGUAAAAUCUGUAGAUUUUGUUGCGUGCAGCUCGACAAUCUCUCCACUGAUCUAAUUCCUCGUCCGGUGAAACCAACGCUGUUCAAAUCCAGAGUGCUCAAGUUGCAGAGAUUAUUAAAUGCUUUCGGUGACACGCCUUUGAAAUUAUUAUAUCUCAAGAGAAGGACUUUUAGAGACUUUAGGAAACUCAAUUCAGAAGGAAUGAAACCAUGGAAUUGAUUGAAAGAAAGGUCGAGGUAAGUGAUGCCGGUAAGGUUCCAUAUCCAUCUAGGUAUGGUGGAGUUGAUGUUGUUGCUUGCGAUUUUGAGGACUCUAAGACUCGUAAUGUUGAUAUGCGGUAGAGAAAUCGGUAUUACGGAAGGAUUAGUGUAGGUAAUAUCAAGAUAUGUCAAAGAUGGCAGCUUGUUUAUUGCUUGAAACCAAUCUGUAGCAAUACUCAUGUUGACAAAACUCAUAUCAAGAUAACGCAGAGAAGACAGAUGAGCGACCCACGCGAAGUUGUCUACUGCAAUAUCAUAAGCCUCACAACCGAUAGAAUUUAUGUCAAGAUAAUGAAGGUUUGAGAGAUUUCCGAGUUGAGGAGGUACCGUUCCACCGAAACAAGCUCGAGAGAGGUUAAGAUACCGUAAAUUUUUCAGAGAACCAAAGUACGUCGGGAUGCGAAUCCCGUUGAAAUUGUUCGAGCUGAGAUCUAAGUGCUUCAGAUGAUUUAAGAGAAGCAGAGAUGGACUGAUCUUACCACUCAAAGCCGGCGACGGUCUUUUAUUAACAUCGUUAUAGGAGUUUCGCAGGUUGAGUUUCAGAACAUGACCGGUUGUGUUGCUGCAAACGACUCCCCUCCAUUCGCAGCAGUCUUGGCCUUCCCACGAGGACAGGCGGUUGCCCGGAUUAGUGAAGCCCACUUUGACAGCCAGCAGUGCAUUUCUCUCGGUCUCGAAGCACCCGCUUGCCGCAAAUGCUCGGAUGCCUAUGACCAAAAGCACAAAAAAAAUUUGAAGAACCAUACUGUUCUAAACAAGUAGUAACUAAUUAAGUCGGAAGGUUAUGAAUGGAUCAUCAAAAUCUGGAGACUAUAUAUAUAUAUAUAUAUAUAUAUAUGGUGAUGGUCACCAGGUGUUGUGGACAUAAUUGAAACGGCCUUGGACUCUUGGAAAAAAAUCUAGUUGGUUUGUUGACUUUGAACAGCAUUAAAGUGUGUUGUCACUUGAAAUUAUUUUGUCGAAAUCCCAAUGACCAUCAACAAGUAGAUGAAUGAUCUGGAAUAAAAACAAGGUUGUGGGCCAUUUGGUCCCCCACAGUUUGUGUGUGAUUACGCGGAGUUUGGGUUUUAAGAAAAGGAAAUAGAAAACGACUGCAGUGCCAAAGAAGUCUAAGAUUGUGGGCCUUCCCACGACUAUUUCUGAAUGUUGUGUUUAGUGUCUAUAUAUAUAUACUUCAACUAUAUUACUACUAGGCUUAACAUUGUCCCAAAAAAGAAAACAAAAACAAAAAAAAACAAAAAACAAAAAAAACUAUUUCUGAAUUUGGGGGAUAACAUUGUUGGCUAUUUAUUAUCGGGCUAAAAUAAGUCCAACUUUCUGCCCAGUAACAACAGGACCAGGAGAAUAAGAAGUUGAGUUAGGUGAGCUUAAUAAGUUGAGUGGGAGUGUGAUUUAUAAAAGACCUAACAACAAGUGGCCCAACGACAGACCCAACGUUCAGGUGGGUUGAGUCAGGUUGAAGCCCGUGAGCACUGUGGCUGGGCCCUUAAGUGUGAUGGAUGCGCCCUUCCUAUCAGCACGUGCUUUUGGAAUAGUUGGUUAGCGCUUAUGAUCCACAAACAUAGUAUCAAAUUGGGGAGCUUUAAAUCUCUAGGAAUAAUCAAAAACAUCCGAUCAUAUCUGUGCUCAUACUCGAUCUCAUCCGUUAAUUUAUACAUUAUGCAAUAAAUAAGAUAACGGUGUAGCUAAUAAGGUAGUGGUCUUUUUUGCAAAUUCAACUACUCCUAAAAUAGAUUACAUCUACUCCUAAUGCAAAAGUUAUAAAUAUGAUGUUUCCACUACAGGAAAAAGCUAUUGUAGAGGCGGUUGCUCAAAGACGUUUGUAACAACCGCCUCUACAGAAUCUGUUAGGGGCAUAUUAGAGGCGGUUUUAAAAACCCGCCUCUAAAAUCCCCAAAAAAAAAUUCUAUUUUUUUUUUCCCCCCAUACAUGCACUACUAAAAAAAACCCUAACUCUAUUUCCCCCCAAAACCAGCCACCUCUCCAACCCUUCUCCCAAAAAACCCACCUCCUCCAACCCUCCUCCCAAAAAAUCGGCCGCCUCCUCCCCGGCGGUGAUGACUGGCCGUUCCCUGUUGGCUGCCGCACUCCUUCUACUCCAAGGCCGCGUCCGCUGAGGUGCCGCGUCUGUUCCGGCGACCUCUCCCUGUCAAAGUUCUCAGGUACGCCGCUCCCUCGUCGCUCCCCCGCUGUGACAGUUCUCCGGCAGCGGGCCAACCUCCCCUGCCGCCGCGCGUACCCCCCGGCGCCCCUUUCCCCUCCGCCCUCAUCGGCCAGCGCACACACCACCGUCCCCCACCCCCGCGCGUGCCCUUUUCCCUCUGAAACCGCCCUCUACAAUCGUAGAGGGCGUUUAAAAACCGCUCUACCUGGCGGUCUCAAAAACGCCUCUACACAACAUAUUCCUGUAGCUGUUCCUAAUGCAAAAGUUUGAAACUGUGAUGUUUCAAGUCCUCCUUUCUUAAGCUCCAUUUCUUUGUACGCGCUCCGUUACCGAGAUCGUUAGCUAUAUAACUUGUUGUACCUAGCUGUUGAUAACGCUAGUGUUAGAUGUGAUUCGACAAUUGAUAAUCGACUCUAAGUUCGGAUUUUCGACUCCGUCGACAGUUUUGCGUUCGACAACAUUGACCAAAUUGGAAAAUAAAAUUGUGAAGGAAAAAUGAAUAUCUGUGGUUGGUAACGGAGGGCUCGGGCCGACAGGCUCGAGCCUGUAGAGGCGUGAGAUCGUGGUUGGUUGUACCAUCUAAACAUUGUAUUCCCUUUUUCGUUUUGAUAGUGAAAUCCUCUCCUCCCUCGCCCAUGGUUUUUCUUUGCAAAAGAUUUUUCACGUAAAUAUGUAUGUUUUUCUUUUGUUUCUGCUUGUGGUUUGUUUAUUUUGUGUUCACCAUUUUGUUUUCCGUUUGUGCGUUUGUCGUAACAGCUAGCUUGUUUGUCAAAACUGGAACGAUCCGAUCCACUAGCAAUAAUAACUCGUUAGGUUCAAACCAAAGGCCCAAAAUAUUUAAGCUCCGUUAUUAUUAUUAGAAUGCGAAACCUCAUAUAUAUAUAUAUAUAUAUAUUUUUUUUUUUUCAUCCGAUAUGAGACUAUUUGGAUGUGUUAUGAAUAAAGCACAAAUGGAAACAAAAUGGCGAAUACGAAACAAUCAAAUCACAACCAGAAAAUAAAGAGAACACACAAAUUUACAUGAAAAAUUCUUUGCAGGGAAAAAAUCACGGGCGAGGGAGGAGAGAACUUCGCUAUCAAACGAAAAAGAGAAUACAAUGUUCAGAUAAUACAGCCGACCACCAUCUCAUGCCUCUAGGGCAAAAACUAAAAAGGAAACUCUUAACAGGUUUCGGAUCUGAUCCGCUAACCACCACAUACAUUUCUUUUUCCUUCACAAAUUUACUUUCCAAUUUGGUCGCACCGCGAAACUGUCGGCGAGUCGAAAAUCCGAACUUAAGUCGAUUUAAGAAUUUCGAGUCACAUCUAACAGGAUGUUACAAAAACUGGUCCUGAAUCUAUGGCCCAAUCCUUCAUGCACGUCGCAUAUUCAUUCAAAUUUUAAAAUAUUUAACUUCACGUAAUUCUGGGCCCACCUAUAUUCUUGCCGAAGCUCUCUCCUUGACACGAGGAAUUCUACACUGUCACACUUGCACCACGUCAUCAAUAAUAAGUCAAUCACAUUCCUUCUUUUCAAACAAAAGUACAAUAAAAAUACUUUUUUAUAAUCAUGAUGGGACAUAUAUUCUUAAAAGGAUUAAUUUGAUUGGUUUGUUACGCCACGUCACUAAUAUACCCGUUGCAUUCUAGAAUUUUUCCCUUGACACGAUACCGAAGUCGAGUUUUCUUUGUUUUUCACCGAAUCCAUUUUCGAUGCCACGAAUCUUCUUUUUUAGUUUCAGUCACCAAGUCGUUCUUUUUUUACUUUUGUUGCUAAAAGUAUACAGAACUUAGCUGAAUUAUAAAUUAUUUUGAUUUAAUUUUUCAACUUUUAAAAUUUAAAUUUUUAUUAUUCAAAUUUAAAUUUGUUUGAUUUAAAUCAAUCAACGAUAUCUUGACUUUAAAAUUUAAAUACGUUGUUUAUCUUUGCAAGUUUAGUUAGUUAGUAUAUUUCAUACAAUUCUUACAGUUAUAAAUUUAUUAAAGUAAAUAAUCAGCUUAAAUUUUAAAGUCAAAAUGUUGUUGACAGACUCAAAUCAAACAUAUUAAAAAGUUUGACAGUAAAAUCAAAGUUUUAAAAGUUUGGAUAAUAAAUUCAAAAUAAUCCGUAAUUCAGAUAAGUUCUAAAAGUUCUUAUCAAUUUUGUUUAUCAAAUUUGAGAUACCGUUUGAUUUAGGUAUUAGGGAGGGAAAAAUAAGCCACUGUUCCCCCACUAACACCAGAACGAGGGUUGAAAUGUUGCUCCCCACUUUUAAUAAAUUUUUUGAAAAUAACCUGCUGGAACAAGAAUUAAGAUAAUUAAUUUAAAACUCAUUAGCUAAUUAAUUUAUUCAUUAAUGUAGUUAAUAUGCUAACUUAUUUUGUAAUUAAUUAAAUCAUUCACUAGUAAAGCCAAGAUAUCGAUAGGCAAUUUAAAUAGUACAUAGUUCAGAUAAAUUAUAUAUAUUUUUACUAAAAAAAAAAAACAUAAAAACCAUAGCCCUAUUCGAUAAUAAGUACAUAUAUAAAGCACCUGCAAUAAAUUACUAUAAUUUGACUUUUUUUAACGCUAUUACUAAAAUACAACUCAUUCAACUUCGGAGUGGAUCUAUAAACGUCUAGAUAUUUAAGUUAUUAAUAUACUCAUUUAGUUCAUUUGAGCGGAUUUGGAAAAUAACUACUCAUAUAUUAUCUAUUUAAGAUCAGGUACAGAUCGGAUACGAAUUGAGUAUAAAUUGGGAACGAGUACCCAUAUGCUUAUCUAUGGUAUAAAAUACAAAUAUUUAUAUAUAAUUAAUAAGUUAAAAAUAGAAAUAUAAAAUUUUCAAACAUACGACCACCGUCCUGAACACCUAGAAUAAUAUAAUAGUUAAAAUUAUAUUUAUAAGUCCAAAUACAUAUAAUAUAAUUGCAUAUAAUUAACUAGUCAUAUAGCAUACACUGUAAUUUCAGAAUACAUGCACCUACUAAAAUAUAGUUAAAACACAUGCGUAAUAAGUCUGAAACAUUAUAGUGGAAAGAUAAGUAUCAAAAUUUUCAAAAUUUUAAUAUUUUUCUCCUUGUUUUAAUUUUCGACAAUCGAAUAUUUCAUCGGGUCUGGAUCCUGACAUGAAAACUAUUUCAGAUUCUGCCCACCAAAAGAUCAGGUCCUAGUUGACUUCAAGUCGAAUAUGGAUAUAACGUGUUCAGAUCUACAUCCGAAACUUCUUGACAAUUUUUCUUACUCAUAUAAUAUUCAUUUUUAAUCGGAUUCGCAUCGGAUUCAAAUAAGGUACGGGAUAUGGGGUAUUUUGGACAUCUAAAUUCUUCGGUGGGACCAAGCUAAGAUUUUUGUAUGAUCAUUCCAUUUGCAUAGUGCAGAUGGAAGAAAAAAAGACAAAAAAGGUUUGUGGGCCUUGUUGUGGAAAAUGUAGAUCACGAUUUGUUAAAAUUAUUUUGGGGGUGUUUUUAAUCAUAUUGAUUUGUAGCAGUAUUAAUGUAGUAUCAGAGUGACCUGUUCUAUACCGAAUUUGUUCCAAAUGAUCUUAAGUUCAAUUCCAACAUCUUUUACAAGUAAUUUUUUAUUCCACCACAGCACCACAUGUAUUGAAUUUGUGACAAACAAGUCACCCAAUUCCUUUGCACUUUAAUUACGAGGCCAUUGAUAUAAUAAUUAGGAUUAAUUGCAUAUAAGUCUUUACAAAUUAAUGUAGAGAAUUGCAAAAGUAUUUCUACAAAAUUCAACAUUCAUAUGUUGUCUCUGCAAAAGUUCUGAUGUUUUCAAAUAUGUCUCUGCUGUUAGAAUCCGUUAGAAAAAUUUAGUUAACCAUAGGUUAAAUACUUAAAUCUGAUUAAUUAAUAAGUGUCUGCGACCACGAAUGACGUACCUCGCACGGUUAAUCAAAUUUUCUGUUUUCCGUGGGGUAGUAUUCAUGAUUCAGAUUAAUAUUUGAAUAUGUAUAGUUAUCAGGUAUUGUGAAUUCAUGGCUUCCAAUAAACGCAAGCGUUUAUUGUUAAUUACCCCUACAAAGUGUUAGGGUAUCUUCGAUUAAGAGACCUUUGUAAUACUGAAAUAGACUAAAAUUGAAUAAAAGGUGGAUUUUAUAACACAAUCCGUUGUAUAGUUACAUGGCUUAACCAAGAGCAUACCCCCAGUGUACAUGAAUAUAACAUAAAAGAGAAAAUAAUUAGUUCAACGACGUGACGGUCGAUUGAACUGGGAUGCUCAAUUUAACGACAUGGCGGUCGAUUGGAAUUGGUUUGCUCAGUUUAACGACAUGGCGGUCGAUUGGGAUUUGGAUUUGCUCAGUUUAACGACAUGGCGAUCGAUUGUAAUUUGAUUUGCUCAGUUUAACGAUAUGGCGGUCGAUUGGGAUUUUGAUUUGCUCAGUUUAACGACAUGGCGGUCGAUUGGGUUGAAAUUGGAUUGCUCAGUUUAACGACAUGGCAAUCGAUUGGGAUUUGAUUUGCUCAGUUUAAUGACAUGGCGAUCGAUUGGGUUUGAUUUGCUCAGUUUAAUGACAUGGCGGUCGAUUGGGUUGAAAUUGGAUUGUUCAGUUUAACGACAUGGCGGUCGAUUGGAUUUGAUUUGCUCAGUUUAACGACAUGGCGGUCGAUUGGGUUUGAUUUGCUCAGUUUAACGACAUGGCGGUCGAUUGGGUUUGAUUUGCUCAGUUUAACGACAUGGCGGUCGAUUAGAUUGGAAUUGGAUUGCUCAGUUUAACGACAUGGCGGUCGAUUGGGUUUGAUUUACUCAGUUUAACGACAUGGCGGUUGAUUGGAUUUGAUUUGCUCAGUUUAACGACAUGGCGAUCGAUUGGAUUUGAUUUGCUCAGUUUAACGACGUGGCGGUCGAUUGGGUUUGAUUUGCUCGACUUGGACUCACCUUCAGCUUAAUUCUUAGUUUGGAGGACAUCAUGUAGGUGAAGGGCAAGUACACGAAAUGGACUUGACUUGGCAUACAUGAAUUUGAAGGUUUAAAUUCAAAAGUUUGAGUUUCAAGUUAAAAUUUUAGAUUUAAAUUUAAAAUUUAAGCUUGAGUUAGUUUUAUUUUGAAAUUGAAUUCUAAUUNAGAUAUAUAUAUAUAUAUAUAUAUAUAUAUAUGUUUGAUGCUAUAUGUGAAUUUGUAAUUUGUAUUUUAAAAUUUAGAUUUAAUGUAAUAUAUUUUGAAAUAUUGUAAAGAGAAAAAAUUGUUUUGGGUUCGAGCUUGGUUUCGAGUUCUGGAUUUUUGGUGGGGUUCGAUUUUGGAUAUAGAUUUUUAAAAUCCGUCAAAUUCGGAUUCGGGUUCAAGUUUUGGGUUUGGUAGACGGGUUUGGGUUCGGGUUUUUGAAAAUCUAUUCCAAAUCCGACCCGUUGACAUCUAAAGGUGUCCGUGGACCGAGUCGGGUCUGGAUAGUUGAUAUACUGUACCCGUACCCUAAAAAGAAAUUGUUAGAAAAAAAAAAAAACCCUACAUAUUUAAUUUCAGGUCGGGUCCGGAUCUGGGUACUUAAGUUACUAAUAUACUCAUCGGGUCUAUUUGAGCGGGUCUGGGUAGUGACUAUCCGUAUACUAUCCGUUCAAAACCGGAUACGAGUCGGGUACGGGUACCUGUAUAUAUAUUUUUUAUAGACUUUGUUAAAUUGUUUGGGCAAAAUUUGUUUCGGCCAUUAUAUUUACUGAUUAGAAGUAUAAAAUUCAAAAUAAUUUUAUAUGUAAACUUACAAAAAUUAAAAAAUUAUGAUACCAUAUUACAGAUAAAGAGAAUAUAAGUUGUAAUAAUUACUAAUAUUAUAUACUAACAUUCAAAAAAAAGGAGAAAAAAAUAAAGAUGAAUCAGAAAAUUUGUUAAAUAGAAUAUUUAUUAAAAAAAACUAGAUUGUCGACUAUGAUUGGAGAAAGAAUUUGAAAAUAAGAUCGUUGACCGGUUGUCCGAAUUUCCGAAAUGAGAUUUUUUCUAUUUUGAAUUCGAUAAUUUGACCGGAUUAGUCAACUUGGUCGGAUCGUAUUUUGGCACAUCUUUACUGCUAAAUAAUAUAAGAAGUACUAAAGGACAUAAAAACAAUUAGACAAUGGAGACCAACGAUGUAAUUAACGGGAACCAAAUAGCCUUAUUAAGAAACUGUCUACGUAGUUGCCGAAUAAACGAAGUAAAAUUAAAUUAGAGUCCCUCAACUUUCCGGAAAGUUUAUUUUACUCCUUAAACUUUUUAAAUUCAAUGUUUGGACACUGAAUUUCCAAAAAAAUUUUCACUUUUGUCUUCAUCUUAGCAGCAAUAAUUUUUGCCCUCUAAUAAUAAAUAUGGAUAAAAAGUAAAAUGAGCACUAUAAAAAGUUUAGGGUUUUAUUGCCGAGCAUAAAAGUUUAAGGAGCAAAAUGGAACUUGCCAAAAGUUCAGGGACUAGUAUUGCAAUUCACUCACUCAAAUUACAUUUCCCCACAUCUCCUUCUUAAUCUAAUGAGUGUUAAUGCAACAGCAACAUAAAGCCUAUCAUACGUACGGUCGAUCGCAGAGAAAUAAGUAUUUCUAAAUGAUCUACUUAACAAAAGAGCGCCAAAAAAAAUCCAAAAUCCUAUUAUAAAUCCUAACACCACGCUAAUGUAUAGCCCUAAUCUUUCAAACCGGUCAUGCGACUCUUUGCCAAAAACAAUAGUUGUUUCAUUAGUGGAGCAACUCUGCGUAGUUGGUGACCCGCAAAGAUAUGGAUUGCCAAUAUAUAUAGAUGGAUCGUUGAGAGUCUGCAUUUGAUUUCCUGAUGGAAUUUUUCCCGACAGAUUAUUAUACGACACAUUUAAACUGCUCAAAUAAUUCAGUGUAGCAAGACUUUGUGGAAUAGUCCCAGAAAGCUUGUUUAUUGCUACAUCAAGUGAUUCCAAUUCAUGCAUCUUGCCGAUUUGAUCUGGAAUAUGUCCUGUCAAAUGAUUCAUGGAUAAGUUUAGAUUUUGCAGUGCCUGUAAAUCUCCUAUCUCAUCAGGGAUCUCUCCAUAGAGAUUAUUACAGGAAAGGUCAAUGCUUUCGACAAGAUAAAGAAGUUUCGAAUAUUCCCGUGCCUCUCCUUUUACAACUAAAUAUGCAGUGCCAGCUAAGACAUCAAAGCUUCCAUAUCGAAAAAAUAGCAUGUGAUCUGUAGGAACCCCUUUUUUCCAACUUAAUUUUCCAAUAGAUCCGGGUAUAGUUCCAGAUAAGUUGUUGUGAGAAAGAUCUAAGACUCGUAGAAAUCCAAGUUGUGUGAUUUGCGAUGGGAUGCUACCUGAAAACCCAUUUGAGCGCAAGAUGAGCACCAUGAGAACCAAUAAGCUUUCCCCUAUCCAUUUAGAUAUUGUUCCAGAAAAAUUAUUAUUUCCAAGGUUAAGAUUAACUAACUGUCGACAAUAUUGCAAAGAAGAAGGAAUUUCCCCCGACAAGCGAUUAUUGCUUAAAUCCAGUAUCGAAAGAGCACGUAGUUUGCCGAGGGAGGUAGGAACAUUUCCAGAUAAAGUAUUGCUCAUCAUAUCAAGAACAAGAAGUUGAUCUUGCAACAUCCCUAGACACGAAGGAAUUUCUCCUGAUAGCUUGUUGUUCGAUAUAUCGAGAACUUGCAAUGAAGUUGAUUCACAUAAAGCGAAUGGUAGGUUGCCGUCGAAACUAUUAUUAGAAAGAAGCAAAUAUUGUAACCUUAAUAACGUAGCGUUCAGUAUCGGUCCCACAAAAAAAUUGUUGGACAAAUCCAAGAUAGAAAGAGUUUGUGGAAGAGCUGGCAAUGGGCCUUCAAGUUGGCUUGAGCUCAAAUUUAAAUAUAGUAGCAUGACAUGAUCCAGUGUCAAUGGUAACUUUCCUUUGAUUUGAUUAUUGGAAAUAUGUACAUAAGCUAAGGACCUGGACAUAUUCCAAAGCCAAUUGGGAAGGGUACCAACAAUUCCAUUUUUUGAUAAGCCAAGUUCUUCUAGUUGUGUCUGUCCUUGAAGCCAAGUAGGAAAUUUAGGUCCCAGAUUGCAAGAAGCCAAGUGAAGUGUUUUUAGUUGAAAAUGAGGAAUCCAAUCAUGACUAAUUUGCAAGUUAAAGGUGUUAUAUGCAAGGUCUAACCAUUUUAGCCUCUGCAAGUGAGAAAGUUGGACUUCUGUUAUAGUGCCCUCGAAGAAAUUACUUUGGAGAUAUAAUCUAGUUAAGUUAGUAAACCUCCAAACCCCAAGUGGGAUGGUCCCAUUUAGUGAAUUUCCACUUAGGUCUAUUUCAGUUAGGCUAGUCAUGUUCUCCAGCCAACCUGAUAAAUUACCGCUUAACUCGUUAUUCUUAAAAUACAGGUUUUGUAUAUUUUGUUGCGCGCAACUCGGCAGUCUCUCUGCCCAUUUAUUUAUUUCUCCACUAAAACCAACUCUACGCAAAUCCAAAGUAUUCAAGCUACAAAGAUUACUAAAUGCUUUCGGUGACAUGCCUUCAAAAUUAUUAGAUCCUAAAGAAAGAACAUUUAAGGACUUCAGGCAACUCAAUUCAUCGGGAAUAAAGCCAUGAAACUCAUUGGAAGAAAGGUCAAGAUGAGUGAUGCUAGUAAGAUUCCGUAGCCAUCUAGGCAAGGUAGAGUUGAUGUUGUUGCCUGCAAUGUUGAGGACUCCAAGGGUUGUAAUGUUAAGAUAUGGUAGGGAAAUGGGAAUUGUGGGAAGACUAGUCCAGCUCAUAUCAAGAUAUUUCAACGAUGGCAGCAUGUUUAUUGCUUGUAACCAAUAUGUAGCAAAACUCAUGUUAACGAAACUCAUAUUAAGAUAAUGCAAAGAAGACAUAUGGGCAAGCCACAAGAUAUUAUCAACUCUGAUAUUGGUAUCACAAUGGAAAGAACUGAGGUCGAGAUAAUGAAGUUUUGAGAGGUUUCCAAGUUGAGGCGGUACCAUUGCACUGAAACAAGCUCCAGAGAGGUUAAGAUAUCUCAAGUUUUUUAAAGAACCAAAGUACUUCGGGAUGCGAAUCUCGCUGAAGUUGUUCAAACUGAGAUCUAAGUGCUCCAAAUGAUUUAAGAGAAGCCAAGAUGGACUAAUCUUACCACCCAAAGCUGACGGUCUUUUACCAUAAUAAAGGUAAUCAAAAUUGUCGUAGGAGUUUCGCAGGUUGAGCUUCAAAAUGUGACCGCUUGUAUUGCUGCAAACGACUCCCUUCCAUGUACAGCAGUUUUGGCUUUUCCACGAGGCUAAGCGGUUGCGAGGAUCAAUUAGAUCUGCUUUGAAAGCUAGCAAUGCAUUUCUCUCGGUCUCGAAGCACCCGCUUGCCACAAAUGCUUGGAUGCCUAUGAGCAAAAGCAGAAAAAAAAUUGGAGGAGCCAUAUAUAUUGUCUCACGUUUUCUUUUUCUGUUUUAAAGAAAUGACAACUAACUAAGUUGGAAUUAAAGGCUAUGAAUUGAUCAUCAAAACUGGAGAAUAUAUAGUGAUCGAUGGCCCUGGUGCUUGGACUUGCAAAAGCAUUUAGACUCUUCAAAAAGUAUCUAUCUAAUUUGUUGGUUUUCUUUGAAUGAAAAUGGAGACUUUUACUAUUGCAAGAAUUUGUUACCUAAGUUAAAAUGGACCUACUAAAUAAGCAUCAUGAAGUAGAUCUGUAUUCAUGGUGAAGUUCCACACACGUGUGUAGACUUUUGGGUAUGCUUGGUUUGUGUUAUAGAAAUUUCUUAGAAUUUCUAGAGUUGUAUUAUCCGAAAACUGUAUUAUUUGCUAAAUUUUUACUGACGUGAACUGAACGAAUCCUAAAAGUCUUUAGACCUUUCCCAAAAAACACCUACUUGGUUGGUUUACUUUGAAUUAUUACAAGGAAUUUUACUAUUCUAUGUAACUGCCAACUUAAUUAAUAUGGUCCUAUCAAAUGAGCAUCAUAAUAUAAACUAAUCUAGAGGCAAAACAUAAGAUUUUGGGCCUUCCUAUGAAAAUGUAGUCAUAGGAAUCCUUUACUUUGAACAUGUGAGAGGAAAACACAUAAGAUUAUGGACCUUACUAAGAAAAAUAUAAACACAUGGUAAGAGUACUUCUAUAUUAUGUUCUAUCGGAUCGAUUUGAUGGAUAAUAUAUUUAAUUGCAAAGUGAUCAAUUCUUUACCCUUUUCUAGAUGCCUAAAUAAAGAUUAUUAUAUGAUCCUUCCUAUUGCUUAGUCAUAUUUUACCACAUUGAUGCAGUAGGAUUGUGGGCUUUUCUACGAAAAUGUAGAUAUUUGUUUCAUUUAAAUUUUAAUUCUCAAGUUUAAAUUUAAAUCCAAAUCAUAAAUUUAAUUUGUAUUUUGAACAACAAAAUUAGUUCUCAAGUUAAUUUCCAGUUUAAAAAUUUGAAUAUGAAUUUUAUUUAAAUGACUGUAUUGGUAACAAUUUUUUUUUUCCCACCCAAACAAUAAAAAAUAUAGGAUUGUUCCAAAUCCUGGGUGUCCCAUUCUUCUCCCUUCAAGUCUUGAUGUUCUCGUCAGGUUCAAGUACAACACUAAGCUAUCGCUAGGCUUAGCCGACGUUAUGGGGAGCAGCGUUCCACCCACAACGGUUGUCACCAGGGAGCCGCGCUUUGCCCCCCUGUACAAACAUAACUCAGUCGUGACUUAUGUUACACUUCUAGCAAGUCAUUGGCUCUGAUAUCAAUUGUGAUGCCCCAUUUUUCAGAGAGGUCGCCGAUCUUAGAGCUACUCUAACCCUAGCACAUUCAAUUCACUUAACCUUUUGGGACUAGCUAACGCGCAAAAUACUAUAUCGGACUAUUCCAAAUCCUGGGGUGUCACAGUAAAGUCGCAGAAGUCACCAAAUUUAUUUAGAUGGGAGAGAAAAAUUCCUAAAUUGCCGGUCUUCUCAUAGAAAAUGUACAUUCAUGUUUGUUCAGAUUAUUCCUGAGUUUUUUCUGUUAUAUCGAUUUGGUGGGUAAUGCCGUAUUAAUUAGAGUGAUCAAUUUGGUGGGUAACGUAGCAAUUCCUUUGCUACUGAUUUUUUAUUCCACCUCAACACCUCACAUAUUGACUUUGUGCCUGGUAAGUCACUCUCAUUUCAUUUCAGUUACGAGGACAUUAAUUUAAUAAUUAACAAAUUUUGCCUCGAUUUUUUUUUUAAUUACGCAAUACUUUUACCAAUAGUAGCAAUAAUUUCAGCUUUUUCAACAAUUAAUUAAUUAGAAAAAAAAUAUUAUUUGAACUAUUUAAUAAAAUUUACGGAGAAAUCGGGUAAUAAUUAAUUUGUGCGGCCUAUUUAUAAGGUCAACCUUCUGUACUCAAUAUGUUUAAAACCUAAAAAAAUAAAAAUAAAAAAUCGGCCCGACUUGACACGGCCCAUAAUUUUGUCAGUGCCCGACCGACAUGACCCACGUAACAUUCCUAAAUGUCAGUCUUUCAACUUUCUAGCAGAUUUUAUUCUAGGUCUUAAACUUUUUAAAUUCAAUAUUCGAAUAGCAAACUUUCAUAAUUAUCUAACUUCACAGUUGUAAUCUUAGAAAAUAAUAGUUUUUUUCCUCUAAACAUGAAUAAGAAGUAAAGUGAGCACUUUUCAAGAGUUUAGGGUUUCAAUUAGCGAGCAGAAAAAUUCUAGGAGCAAAAUGGAACUAGCCAAAAGUUCAGGGACUAGUGUUGCAAUUUACACAUCAAAAUUAAACACAGCUCCAGUGAUUCCAAAAACAGCAAUCAUUUCAGCACUGCAUGCUGUAAAUUGAAACACAAUAUUCAGUUUUUUCGAGCAUCAUAAAAUGCAACUGCAAAAAACUACACUUCCCCAAAUCUCCUCCUGAAUCUAAUGAGUGUUAAUGCAACAGCAACAUAAAGUCUAUCAUAUGUGCGGUCGAUCGCAGAGAAAUAAGAAAUUCUCAAUGAUCUACUUAACAAAAGAACACCACAGGAAAUCCAAAAUCCUAUUAUAUAUCCUAACACCACACUAACGUAUAGCCCUAAUCUUUCAAACCGGCCAUGCGGCUUUUUCCCAACAACAUGAGUUGUUUCAUUACUGGAGCAACUUUGCGUAGUUGGCGGCCCACAAAGAUAUGGAUUGCCGAUGUAUAUAGAUGGAUCGUCGAGAGUCUGCAGUUGAUAUCCUGACGGAAUUUUCCCUGACAGAUUAUUAUACGACACAUUAAGUGGCUCAAAUAAUUCAGUGUAGCAAGACUUUGUGGAAUAGUCCCAGAAAGGUUGUUCAUUGCUACAUCAGGGGACUCCGAUGCAUGCAUCUUGCUGAUUUGAUCUGGAAUAUGUCCUAUCAAAUGAUUCAUGGAUAAGUUCAGAUUCUGCAGUGCCUGUAAAUCUCCGAUCUCAUCAGGGAUCUCUCCAUAUAGAUCAUUGCAAGAAAGGUCAAUACUUUCGAAAAGAUAAAGAAGUUUCGCAUAAUCCCGUGUCUCUCCUUUUACGACAAAAUAUAAGCUGCCCAUGAGGCCUUCAUCACUUUCAUCUUCCAAAUACCGUAUGUAAUCCUCCGGAAUUCCUUUUUCCGAAGCAGUCAAACUAAAUUUUCCAAUAGAUCGAGGUAUAGUUCCAGAUAAGUUGUUGUGAGAGAGAUCUAAGAUUCGAAGAUACCCGAGUCGUGCAAUUUCCGAAGGAAUGCUACCAAAAAACACAUUUGAGCGCAAGCUGAGCACCAUGAGAACUGAUAAGCUCUGUCCAAUCCAUUCAGGUAUUGUUCCAGAAAAA